RNAcentral lists this ribosomal RNA (801 nucleotides) under uncultured bacterium. Its description in RNAcentral is "bacterial SSU rRNA". It matches the Rfam family "Bacterial small subunit ribosomal RNA", at positions 84 to 880 of the family's 1533-position model. The record is from RNAcentral.
UACUUUACCUAGCGGCGGACGGGUGAGUAAUGCUUAGGAAUCUGCCUAUUAGUGGGGGACAACAUUUCGAAAGGGAUGCUAAUACCGCAUACGUCCUACGGGAGAAAGCAGGGGACCUUCGGGCCUUGCGCUAAUAGAUGAGCCUAAGUCGGAUUAGCUAGUUGGUGGGGUAAAGGCCUACCAAGGCGACGAUCUGUAGCGGGUCUGAGAGGAUGAUCCGCCACACUGGGACUGAGACACGGCCCAGACUCCUACGGGAGGCAGCAGUGGGGAAUAUUGGACAAUGGGGGGAACUCUGAUCCAGCCAUGCCGCGUGUGUGAAGAAGGCCUUUUGGUUGUAAAGCACUUUAAGCGAGGAGGAGGCUACCGAGAUUAAUACUCUUGGAUAGUGGACGUUACUCGCAGAAUAAGCACCGGCUAACUCUGUGCCAGCAGCCGCGGUAAUACAGAGGGUGCAAGCGUUAAUCGGAUUUACUGGGCGUAAAGCGCGCGUAGGUGGCCAAUUAAGUCAAAUGUGAAAUCCCCGAGCUUAACUUGGGAAUUGCAUUCGAUACUGGUUGGCUAGAGUAUGGGAGAGGAUGGUAGAAUUCCAGGUGUAGCGGUGAAAUGCGUAGAGAUCUGGAGGAAUACCGAUGGCGAAGGCAGCCAUCUGGCCUAAUACUGACACUGAGGUGCGAAAGCAUGGGGAGCAAACAGGAUUAGAUACCCUGGUAGUCCAUGCCGUAAACGAUGUCUACUAGCCGUUGGGGCCUUUGAGGCUUUAGUGGCGCAACUAACGCGAUAAGUAGACCGCCUGGGGAG